UGCAUUAUGCCAGAUUAAAUGGGUUACUUUGAUGAGGUAAAAUAUGAGGUAUUCCUCUGAUGCUU
This 65-nucleotide transfer RNA is filed under the name Saxidomus purpurata. Its description in RNAcentral is "tRNA-Ile". The record is from RNAcentral. Lineage: Eukaryota; Metazoa; Mollusca; Bivalvia; Venerida; Veneridae.